UCGUGCGCGAAGGUGGCUUCGGCCACCGGAGAGCGGCGAACGGGUGAGUAACACGUGGGUGAUCUGCCUGGGAGCGGGGGAUAACCUGGGGAAACUCGGGCUAAUACCGCAUACGUUGAUCAGGUUGCGGCCUGGUCAAGAAAGCUGGCCUCUGUUUACAAGCUAGCGCCCCCAGAGGAGCCCGCGGCUGAUUAGCUAGUUGGUAGGGUAACGGCCUACCAAGGCGACGAUCAGUAGCCGGCCUGAGAGGGUGAUCGGCCACACUGGGACUGAGACACGGCCCAGACUCCUACGGGAGGCAGCAGUGGGGAAUAUUGGACAAUGGGCGCAAGCCUGAUCCAGCAACGCCGCGUGGAGGACGAAGGUCUUCGGAUCGUAAACUCCUGUCAGGCGGGACGAAGGUUCCGGGUCAAAUAGUCCUGGAACUUGACGGUACUGCCAGAGGAAGCCCCGGCUAACUCCGUGCCAGCAGCCGCGGUAAUACGGAGGGGGCGAGCGUUA
RNAcentral lists this ribosomal RNA (501 nucleotides) under uncultured bacterium. Its description in RNAcentral is "bacterial SSU rRNA". It matches the Rfam family "Bacterial small subunit ribosomal RNA", at positions 62 to 543 of the family's 1533-position model. The record is from RNAcentral.